This 21-nucleotide non-coding RNA is filed under the name Caenorhabditis elegans. Lineage: Eukaryota; Metazoa; Nematoda; Chromadorea; Rhabditida; Rhabditidae. The record is from RNAcentral.
UGGUACAAUAACUCCUAAAUC